Non-coding RNA from Oryctolagus cuniculus (rabbit), 874 nucleotides. Lineage: Eukaryota; Metazoa; Chordata; Mammalia; Lagomorpha; Leporidae. The record is from RefSeq and is a predicted model, not a curated record.
CUCUACCCAUUUUUGUAUAAUUCUGUCUAUGUCAUGUUCUCAGUGGAAUAUGGGUGAAGAUGAGGUUUUCUAGAACAUACUGAUGCCAUUUGACACCCUGGAUUCCACAGCCAAGGCUGGCCUAAGCAGGUGAAGACAGCAAAGAUUCGAGAGUUAAUGUGAUUUCCCAUCACCCACUAAGUCACAGCUGAAACCAAGAGACAACUGCAGGUCUGGCUGCACUGAAGUCCACGUUUUCUCAGGCUUCAGUUGAACUACUUCCAAAAUGUUUUUAUUGGGUUCCAACUAAUUAAUCCACGAAGAAGAUAAAAGACAAGCCUCCAAAGUUAAUGCUGUCGGCAUUUAAAAACUACCGAACAUGAGGAACAAGGAGGGAAAGGAUCUAACAUUUUUUAAAAUGUCCUCCAUGUGACAGACCUUGUGGUAGGUGAAAUUCAGGACAAGGUUGAUCCACUGUUUUGGGAACACAGCUCAAUGUUCCAUAUGAAAUACUUGUUGAGGUCAUUAAAGAUUGGUGGAAAAUAUAAAGAUUCAAUGAUAAAGAAUGCAGCUACAGGAAAACAGCAACAGAGGAAUAAUGUAUUUGAAAUUGAAGUGUUCAUGAUAUAAUUUGUAAAGAUUCAUGCAAGUUCAUAGAAGUUCACACCCCAUAGGACCUGGAAGGAGACUGUGUGAGCAUUAGGGGCACAAGGACCGAAUUUCCUCUUUUCCCUGUUCAUCCCAGGGUAGGCUGAAGCCCUGAGGAGAAUAUCCCCAAAGAGAGGUAAUUGCAACCAUCACAGCAUUCUAACCUCAGAGAUCCAGAAAUGCGAUACCCAUCUAAGACCAAACCACUGGACACAGAAAAUAUGAAUAUUAUUCUUUUGGAGAUAUU